RNAcentral lists this ribosomal RNA (497 nucleotides) under uncultured bacterium. Its description in RNAcentral is "partial 16S ribosomal RNA". It matches the Rfam family "Bacterial small subunit ribosomal RNA", at positions 28 to 507 of the family's 1533-position model. The record is from RNAcentral.
GAUGAACGCUGGCGGCGUGCCUAAUACAUGCAAGUCGAGCGAACAGACGAGUAGGUGUCUCCUCUGACGUUAGCGGCGGACGGGGGAGUAGCACGUGGAUAACCGACCGAUAAGACUGGGAGAACUGCGUGAAACCGGAGCUAAUACCGGAUAAUAUAUUGAACCGCAUGGUUCAAGAGUUAAAGACGGUUUUGCUGUCACUUAUAGAUGGAUCCGCGUCGCAUUAGCUAGUUGGUAAGGUAACGGAUUACAAAGGCAACGAUGCGUAGCCGAUCUGAGAGGGUGAUCGGUCAAACUGGACUUGAGACACGGUCAAGAAUACUACGGGUGGCAGACGUACGGAAUCUUCCCGGAUGGGCGAAAGCCUGAAGAUGCAACGCCGCGUGAGUGCUGAAGGUCUUCAGAUCGUAAAAAUCUGUUAUUCGGGAAGAACAAAUGUGUAAGUAACUAUGCACGUCUAGACGGUAACUAAUCAGAAAGCCACGGCCAAAUACCUG